Molecule: non-coding RNA, 978 nt
Organism: Oncorhynchus gorbuscha (pink salmon)
Lineage: Eukaryota; Metazoa; Chordata; Actinopteri; Salmoniformes; Salmonidae
Source: the annotation of a RefSeq genome assembly
UGGGCUUAGAUGUACUUUUCCUACACAUUUAGACUCAAACUGAAAGGAUAGUUCAACUUCAACGAUCACAGCGUACUUGCAAAAAGAAAAUGAAUGGAGGAAUCUUGCACACUUGAGAGCAGUUAAAAAAACAUUCUGAUACAGUUUAAACCUUUCCUUGACUGGCUCUCGGUGGCCCUCUUUGUUUCCUGUACCUGUGGUAGGUGGACUUGUACACACAGAAAAAAAGAGGAACUUGCAUUCACAUCCUUCUUUCAGUAACUGACAGGAAACAAUGAACAAGAGAACAGCUCUAACAAUUCUAUGCUGUUCCAUGUUCUGUGGGGCUUUUGGAGCAGGUCAAAAUGAGAUUCUAGUGGAACCAGGGGACACAGUCACCCUUGGCUGUGACAUUACCCUGGAGUACGAGGUCAUGUGGUUUGUUCUUCGUCCUGAUGCCACUCUUUCAGUAGCCAUCACUAUAAAGACAAAUACACCCCUGAGCCUCAACAAAAGGUUUGAUGGUCGUUUCGAGUCAGUGUAUAACACAGGCCUGUUCAGAAGCAAUCUGAGCAUACUGAACAUCUCAGAGAGUGACGUGGGUCUGUACUACUGUGUUGAGCAGAGGGCUAACAUAUUUGAGAUCGGAAGUGGGACCAAGCUCUCCCUUAGUGGUGGGGAGUAAACUCUGCAUUAUGACUGCAUAACUGUGGUUUUGCAUUGGGAGCAUUCUAAAAAAUAUACACCCGGUUCAAUAAAGUUUAAACUCAAGUCAAUUCAGGAUAUGGAUUUCAAUGAUAAAUAUAUACCAUAACAGUUGGAUGAAACAAAUGUAAUAUAUUUAUGUCACAAGCUGCUAUAUGCACUAGACCUAUUUAUACAUUUUUAAUAUGGUAUGUUUAAGAUUGUUUUUCAAUUGUUUUAAAUGUGAUUAAAUCUUUAUAUUCACACACAAAGAAAGCUGUAAAUAACAGUUGAACUGUUAUGAACAUUCUGUCA